RNAcentral lists this ribosomal RNA (440 nucleotides) under uncultured bacterium. RNAcentral describes it as "partial 16S ribosomal RNA". It matches the Rfam family "Bacterial small subunit ribosomal RNA", at positions 338 to 795 of the family's 1533-position model. The record is from RNAcentral.
CCUACGGUGGACUGCAGUGGGGAAUAUUGCACAAUGGGGGAAACCCUGAUGCAGCGACGCCGCGUGAAGGAAGAAGUCUUUCCGUAUGUAAACUUCUAUCAGCAGGGAAGAAAAUUACGGUACCUGACUAAUAAUCCCCGGCUAACUACGUGCCAGCAGCCGCGGUACUACGGAGGGGGCAAGCGUUAUCCGGAUUUACUGGGUGUAAAGGGAGCGUAGGCGGUGCAGCAAGUCAGAAGUGAAAGCCCGGGGCUCAACUCCGGGACUGCUUUUGAAACUGUUGAACUAGAUUGCAGGAGAGGUAAGUGGAAUUCCUAGUGUAGCGGUGAAAUGCGUAGAUAUUAGGAGGAACACCAGUGGCGAAGGCGGCUUACUGGACUGUAAAUGACGCUGAGGCUCGAAAGCGUGGGGAGCAAACAGGAUUAGAUACCCUUGUAGUC